GAUGAACGCUGGCGGUGUGCCUAAUACAUGCAAGUCGAACGAGUUCUUCGGAACUAGUGGCGGACGGGUGAGUAACACGUUGGUACCUGCCCUCAAGUGGGGAAUAACUGCCCGAAAGGGUGGCUAAUACCGCAUGUGAUCGUAAGAUCAAAGUCGCAAGACGCUUGAGGAGGGGCCUGCGUCCCAUUAGCUAGUUGGUAGGGUAAUGGCCUACCAAGGCGACGAUGGGUAGCUGGAUCGAGAGGUUGACCAGCCACACUGGGACUGAGAUACGGCCCAGACUCCUACGGGAGGCAGCAGUAAGGAAUCUUCCACAAUGGACGAAAGUCUGAUGGAGCAACACCGCGUGCAGGAUGACGGCCUUCGGGUUGUAAACUGCUUUUAUAUGGGAAGAUUAUGACGGUACCAUAUGAAUAAGCACCGGCUAACCACGUGCCAGCAGCCGCCGUAA
This 451-nucleotide ribosomal RNA is filed under the name uncultured bacterium. RNAcentral describes it as "partial 16S ribosomal RNA". It matches the Rfam family "Bacterial small subunit ribosomal RNA", at positions 28 to 523 of the family's 1533-position model. The record is from RNAcentral.